Molecule: ribosomal RNA, 484 nt
Filed under: uncultured bacterium
Lineage: Bacteria
Description: partial 16S ribosomal RNA
Rfam family: Bacterial small subunit ribosomal RNA
Source: RNAcentral
AUUGAACGCUGGCGGCAGGCCUAACACAUGCAAGUCGAGCGGAUGAAGGGAGCUUGCUCCUGGAUUCAGCGGCGGACGGGUGAGUAAUGCCUAGGAAUCUGCCUGGUAGUGGGGGAUAACGCCCGGAAACGGGCGCUAAUACCGCAUACGUCCUGAGGGAGAAAGUGGGGGAUCUUCGGACCUCACGCUAUCAGAUGAGCCUAGGUCGGAUUAGCUAGUUGGUGGGGUAAAGGCCUACCAAGGCGACGAUCCGUAACUGGUCUGAGAGGAUGAUCAGUCACACUGGAACUGAGGCACGGUCCAGACUCCUACGGGAGGCAGCAGUGGGGAAUAUUGGACAAUGGGCGAAAGCCUGAUCCAGCCAUGCCGCGUGUGUGAAGAAGGUCUUCGGAUUGUAAAGCACUUUAAGUUGGGAGGAAGGGCAGUAAGUUAAUACCUUGCUGUUUUGACGUUACCAACAGAAUAAGCACCGGCUAACUUCGUG